UACAGAGGGUGCAAGCGUUGUUCGGAAUUAUUGGGCGUAAAGCGCGUGUAGGCGGCUUUGCAAGUCGGGUGUGAAAGCCCCCAGCUUAACUGAGGAAGUGCGCCCGAAACUGCUUGGCUUGAGUACCGGAGAGGAUGGCGGAAUUCCCCAAGUAGAGGUGAAAUUCGUAGAUAUGGGGAGGAACACCGGUGGCGAAGGCGGCCAUCUGGACGGAUACUGACGCUGAGACGCGAAAGCGUGGGUAGCAAACAGG
Molecule: ribosomal RNA, 253 nt
Filed under: uncultured bacterium
Lineage: Bacteria
Description: partial 16S ribosomal RNA
Rfam family: Bacterial small subunit ribosomal RNA
Source: RNAcentral